UAACUAAUUUUUUAUAACGUGUGAGUGUAAAUAUAGCUUAUUUCUCCCUCUGUCUGCUAUUUUUUAACGUUGCCAUUAUCUUAUAUAAAACUUUUGUGACUUAUGUUUGUUGUUUCUAGUUUCUGUGUAAAUUUUGGCGAGGCCGUGAUAAAUUCAUUUAUUUACAAUCUUUCUUUUUAUAUUAUUUCAUCUGUUAAAGAUUUAGCAUGAUGGAAUUGUAAUGUCAACUUAUUUUAUCAGAUUAACUAGUUGCAUCCGCUUAAUUUUGCGAUUCUUCAUUUUUAAAUUCACUAUUUGCGACUCGCUAACUGCAUGGAAUUGAAUGAUUCAAAGGAAGCUUUCAAUUAACUGAAUUGAAUCUUGGUCUAAUUUGAACAUGACAGAGGAACUCCAGUUAUAGCACAGUGCUUUAUCUUUUUAAGCAGGAGUGAUAAUUAUUUAUUAAUUAUUUUAAUUAUGGCUAGAUCAUUAGUACCUAGUUAUCAAAAGUUGGCUGAAAAGUUGACUAUUUUAAAUGAUAGGGGUAUUGGUAUGCUUACAAGAAUCUACAAUAUUAAGAAAGCUUGUGGAGAUGCUAAAAGUAAGCCAAACUUUUUAUCCGAAAAGAGUUUAGAUUCAGCAAUAAAGCAUAUAGUAAGGCGUUUUCCGAACAUCGAUACUCGAGGAAACAGCGUAAGAUUUCUUUUUAUUAUAUUUCAUCUUAAUUUAUGUUGCAAUUUUUUUACAUAUGUCUGUUUUAUGAUCUGAUGUGUUAUUAAACAUCAGGGUGCCCACAGAAGUGGAAAAAAUCAGAAAAUUUUAUUAAUCUGAAAAAAAUUAGGAAAUUUGUUUAAUAUACCCAAGAAUUCAAGAAAAAACUAAUA
Molecule: non-coding RNA, 863 nt
Organism: Parasteatoda tepidariorum (common house spider)
Lineage: Eukaryota; Metazoa; Arthropoda; Arachnida; Araneae; Theridiidae
Source: RefSeq, a predicted model, not a curated record